CCCGCUUGGAAUUUUCCCCAAAACAGGUCUUGACUGCUUGUCUGAGGUGCUGUCAGACAGGGCUAAACAGUUCAGGGUAUAGGACGAGGGAGAGUAAGAGGAGGAGCAGGAGAGGAUGGGGAGGAGUAGGAGGAGGAGAAGAGGGUUCUCAGGGUUUAUAAGGAAGAUGCAGUGAUUCAUCUGUCCUUUCUAUCCUGCGGAUAUGUCUGCUGAAGGAUUCAGGGGGCUGGUGACCAUAACUCUUUAACAGGUCACCAUGGAGUCCCAUUCUGUCUGCUUGCUAUGAAUCAUGUAAAUAUCUCUGUUUGAAGUAUCUCUGUAAAAUAAUAUAUUACUGUUCAGAGAAGUCAGGUCCUAGAUAAUGUAUCUGUAAAAAAAAGGAGACAAGUAGACUUCCUUUUUAUUGCUGUAAAUCAAGAAAUGUCUCACAACUACUCAGAACCGUCAAUAAGUCAAUAAGUCUGUAUUGGGACACGUUCAAUGAUACGUAUCAAGACCUCUACUGCUGCUGUUUUCUCUGCCACUCCCUUACAUCACCAGUGAUAAAGUACUGUUUGAUAAAGGUUUAUGAGCAAAUGUGAAGGUUUUGCUGUGGUGAAGGUUUAUGAAAUGUAGUACUGAACACAAUCUCUCUUCCCACAGUGAGGAGGAGAAGAAAUCCUGGGCUAGACUAAGGGCGGGUCGCGCCUCCCCCGCAACCGUCUGGUCAUGAGAACACUACACAUCGGGUGCGGCCUUCACUAGGGAGUAACGCAACAGUGGUGCUGCCUACCGCAGGAACAAGGCCGAUGCGUCGUGUUCCCAUGCCAGGCCAGCAGGGGGUGACGUGUGCAGAGCCAGUGCUGCAGAAAUGCAGUGACCUCGAAACAACUAACCAAAACUCAGACUACAGAAGCAAAACCACAAAAGCCAAAACUACUUUCCACUUCCCUUUUUCCCUUUGGCUUCUGGUGGUCUGCGUGCUUGGUUAGGUGGGCUCGAGGGAGGGGCCUGCUGAUAAACACAAUCCCAUAAUAGAUUCACCUAAAAAGGCUGUACGCAACAUUUACUGUAAAAACCAAUGAAAAUGUGAAAAUAAAACUGUAAACACAUGCAACUUUAA
Oncorhynchus keta (chum salmon) is the source of this 1102-nucleotide long non-coding RNA. RefSeq lists it as uncharacterized. The record is from RefSeq and is a predicted model, not a curated record. NCBI's taxonomy places the organism in Eukaryota, Metazoa, Chordata, Actinopteri, Salmoniformes, Salmonidae. The transcript has 2 exons.